Pelobates cultripes (western spadefoot toad) is the source of this 180-nucleotide non-coding RNA. The record is from the annotation of a GenBank genome assembly. NCBI's taxonomy places the organism in Eukaryota, Metazoa, Chordata, Amphibia, Anura, Pelobatidae.
GAGUGAGGGGGUGACUAGUGGCAGAGUGAGGGAAGGAAGGGGUGACUAGUGACAGAGUUAGGGAGGUGGUGACUGUCACUAGUUACCACCUCCCUUACUCUGCCACUAGUCACCCCCUCACUCUAGUGACCCUCCCUCACCCCUCCGUCCCUUACUCUGUCACCAGUCAUCCCCUCCCUC